This is a long non-coding RNA of Salvia hispanica, 267 nucleotides long. RefSeq lists it as uncharacterized. Lineage: Eukaryota; Viridiplantae; Streptophyta; Magnoliopsida; Lamiales; Lamiaceae. The record is from RefSeq and is a predicted model, not a curated record.
GGUGAACCGAGUGCAAGAACAAGCGAUAGGGGCACAUCCAUGGUUGACUAAGCAAGUUAUACUGUUUUUGUAACGUGUACAGAGUUUAGAAGCGAGUGAUCUCGCUCUUGGGCAGUUGCACGUGUCAAGUCACUACCCUCCUUUUUGCCGGCACAGUUGAAGUUCUCACGUGGUAUGCUUAGGCUAACUUUUGAUUGUAGAUAGUUGGUUUGGAGAUGUAAGGUUAUGUAACCUUCUUUUGCUAAUGGGAUUGUAAAUAAUUGUCGA